GACGAACGUUGGCGGCGUGUCUAAGGCAUGCAAGUCGAGCGAAUCAUUAUUUGUAGCAAUACUUGUGAUGGUUAGCGGCAAACGGGUGCGUAACACAUUGGUAAUCUGCCUUCUAGUCGGGCAUAACUCACCGAAAGGUGAGCUAAUUCCACGAUACACUCCACAUGUUAGUAGUGUGAGAGGAAAGCGCAAAACGCGCUAGAAGAGGAGCCUAUGGCCUAUCAGCUUGUUGGUGAGGUAACGGCUCACCAAGGCUAUGACGGGUAGGGGNGUGAGAGCAUGACCCCCUCACUGGACGUGAGACACUGCCACGACACCUACGGGUGGCUGCAGUCGAGAAUUUUCCUU
RNAcentral lists this ribosomal RNA (348 nucleotides) under uncultured bacterium. RNAcentral's name for it is "bacterial SSU rRNA". It matches the Rfam family "Bacterial small subunit ribosomal RNA", at positions 28 to 369 of the family's 1533-position model. The record is from RNAcentral.